GACGAACGCUGGCGGCGUGCUUAACACAUGCAAGUCGAACGGAAAGGCCUGCUUUUCCUUGUGGUUUGCGGGUCCUCGAGCGGCGAACGGGCGCGUAACACGCGAGUGAUUUGCACUCAACUUGGGUAUAAGCCUGGGAAACUGGGCCUAAUUCUCGUUAGGACUGCAGGGUGGUGCCUGUGGUGGCAAACGUGUUUCUAGUGGUUGGGGAUGCGCUGGUGCCUUAUCUGCUUGUUGGUGGGGUAAUGGCCUACCAAGGCGGCGACGGGUAGCCGGCCGGGGAUGGUGGACGGCCGCAUUGGGACUCGGUUACGGCCCAGACGCCUGCGAGAAGCAGGGGAGGGGAAGAUAUGAGAGUGGGCGGGAGCCUGAUGCAGCGACGCAGCGUGGGAGAUGACGGCCUUCGGGAAGUAAGCUCCUUGCGACCGCGAGGAGGCCACCUGGUUGGAAGGGUCGUGACGGUAGUGGUAGAAGAAGCACCGGCUAACUACGUG
Molecule: ribosomal RNA, 494 nt
Filed under: uncultured bacterium
Lineage: Bacteria
Description: partial 16S ribosomal RNA
Rfam family: Bacterial small subunit ribosomal RNA
Source: RNAcentral